Molecule: non-coding RNA, 74 nt
Organism: Aspergillus tubingensis
Lineage: Eukaryota; Fungi; Ascomycota; Eurotiomycetes; Eurotiales; Aspergillaceae
Source: the annotation of a RefSeq genome assembly
GUCUCGGUGGCGCAAUUGGUAAGCUUGCCCUUCAUCAAAUCGUGAGGUUGAGAGUUCGAUCCUCUCCCGGGACG